RNAcentral lists this small RNA (176 nucleotides) under Syntrophobacter sp. SbD1. RNAcentral describes it as "ykoK". It matches the Rfam family "M-box riboswitch aptamer (ykoK leader)". Rfam says of the family: M-box riboswitch, also know as ykoK leader is described as a metaloregulatory RNA that sense divalent metals and function as a genetic control element of genes related to divalent metal transport in bacteria. It was first reported upstream of the B.subtilis ykoK gene and genes with related functions in other bacteria. Lineage: Bacteria; Pseudomonadati; Thermodesulfobacteriota; Syntrophobacteria; Syntrophobacterales; Syntrophobacteraceae. The record is from RNAcentral.
UGGAAUCCUCGGUAGGCGAGGCUCCCGCGUUGCACACAGGCCACUGCCCAAAAGCAUCCAGAGAUGCGGUUAUGGGUAGAACAGGCACUCCCGGAUUAAGGGUUUACCUAAGGUGGCUGAGGCGAUUACGCCUCUUACGGCACGCGGUGCUGAAGCUUGAAUGAGUGGGGAAGAAG